Molecule: ribosomal RNA, 397 nt
Filed under: uncultured bacterium
Lineage: Bacteria
Description: partial 16S ribosomal RNA
Rfam family: Bacterial small subunit ribosomal RNA
Source: RNAcentral
AUACGUAGGUGACAAGCGUUAUCCGGAUUUACUGGGUGUAAAGGGCGUGUAGGCGGUUUAGCAAGUCAGAAGUGAAAUUCCCGGGCUUAACUUGGGCGCUGCUUCUGAAACUGCAUUACUUGAGUGCUGGAGAGGAUAGUGGAAUUCCUAGUGUAGCGGUAAAAUGCGCAGAUAUUAGGAGGAACACCGGUGGCGAAGGCGGCUAUCUGGACAGUAACUGACGCUGAGGCGCGAAAGCACGGGGAGCAAACAGGAUUAGAUACCCUGGUGGUCCGUGCCGUAAACGAUGAAUACUAGGUGUAGGGGGUAUCGACUCCCUCCGUGCCGCAGUUAACACAUUAAGUAUUCCACCUGGGGAGUACGGCCGCAAGGUUGAAACUCAAAUGAAUUGACGGGG